RNAcentral lists this transfer RNA (74 nucleotides) under Microthrixaceae bacterium. RNAcentral describes it as "tRNA-Met". It matches the Rfam family "tRNA". Rfam says of the family: Transfer RNA (tRNA) molecules are approximately 80 nucleotides in length. Lineage: Bacteria; Bacillati; Actinomycetota; Acidimicrobiia; Acidimicrobiales; Microthrixaceae. The record is from RNAcentral.
GGUGGCGUAGCUCAGUCGGUGAGAGCGCUCGACUCAUAAUCGAGAGGUCGUCAGUUCGAGUCUGACCGUCACUA